This 351-nucleotide unclassified non-coding RNA is filed under the name Hevea brasiliensis (rubber tree). Lineage: Eukaryota; Viridiplantae; Streptophyta; Magnoliopsida; Malpighiales; Euphorbiaceae. The record is from RNAcentral.
ACAAUGAUGCAUUUGUAUAUUGGUGAUAAUUGAUGACUUCACUUUGAUCCGCUGCUUAUUGAUUACUAGUGGACCUCAUGAUUAAAGCCAUGGGGUGUCAUGGUCCGUGGGUGCAUGGAGCACAGGAGUAGGUGGUUGAAUUUGGUAAUUGGACAAGCAAUUGUGAAUUUGUAGUCUGCUUUUGAGUGAAAACAUUGGGCACUGUUUCUGAGAUUAAGGCUGGGACCAAAGGAGUGGGCAAAGGAGAUAGGGUCCAAUCGUGGGCAAUUAUAGCAUCUCUAGUCUCUUCUUUGCUGCCGCUGUUCUAUUUGUUUUCUUUUUCGAUCGUGCAAGAGAGCUGAUUGGUAGGCA